Molecule: ribosomal RNA, 484 nt
Filed under: uncultured organism
Description: bacterial SSU rRNA
Rfam family: Bacterial small subunit ribosomal RNA
Source: RNAcentral
GAUGAACGCUAGCGGCAGGCUUAACACAUGCAAGUCGAGGGGCAGCGGGAGUAGCAAUACUUGCCGGCGACCGGCGCAAGGGUGCGUAACGCGUGAGCAACAUGCCCGUAUCAGGGGGAUAAUCCAGGGAAACUUGGUCUAAUACCGCAUAAUAAUCAUUUGGGGCAUCUUGGAUGAUUUAAAAUUUCGAUGGAUACGGAUUGGCUCGCGUGACAUUAGCUGGAUGGUAGGGUAACGGCCUACCAUGGCUACGAUGUCUAGGGGUUCUGAGAGGAAGGUCCCCCACACUGGAACUGAGACACGGUCCAGACUCCUACGGGAGGCAGCAGUGAGGAAUAUUGGACAAUGGAUGGAAAUCUGAUCCAGCCAUGCCGCGUGCAGGAAGACGGCCCUAUGGGUUGUAAACUGCUUUUGUAUGGGAGCAAUAAGGGCUACGAGUAGCCUGAUGAGAGUACCAUACGAAUAAGGACCGGCUAACUCCGUG